GAUGAAGAACGUAGCGAAAUGCGAUAAGUAAUGUGAAUUGCAGAAUUCAGUGAAUCAUCGAGUCUUUGAACGCCCAUUGCGACCCCUGGUAUUCCGGGGGGCAUGCCUGUCCGAGCGUCAUUGCUGCCCUCAAGCACGGCUUGUGUGUUGGGCCUCCGUCCUCCUCCCGGGGGACGGGCCCGAAAGGCAGCGGCGGCACCGCGUCCGGUCCUCGAGCGUAUGGGGCUUCGUCACCCGCUCUUGUAGGCCCGGCCGGCGCUUGCCGACACAUCAAUCUUUUUUCCAGGUUGACCUCGGAUCAGGUAGGGAUACCCGCUGAACUUAAGCAUAUCAAUAAGCGGAGGA
This 345-nucleotide unclassified non-coding RNA is filed under the name soil metagenome. RNAcentral describes it as "partial contains 5.8S ribosomal RNA, internal transcribed spacer 2, and large subunit ribosomal RNA". The stretch from base 1 to 120 matches the Rfam family "5.8S ribosomal RNA", at positions 35 to 154 of the family's 154-position model. The record is from RNAcentral.